Molecule: transfer RNA, 95 nt
Filed under: Peptostreptococcus stomatis DSM 17678
Lineage: Bacteria; Bacillati; Bacillota; Clostridia; Peptostreptococcales; Peptostreptococcaceae
Description: tRNA-Ser
Rfam family: tRNA
About the family: Transfer RNA (tRNA) molecules are approximately 80 nucleotides in length. Their secondary structure includes four short double-helical elements and three loops (D, anti-codon, and T loops).
Source: RNAcentral
UGGAGAAGUACUCAAGAGGCUCAAGAGGAUCCCCUGCUAAGGGAUUAGGCUGGAUUAAACUGGUGCGAGGGUUCGAAUCCCUCCUUCUCCGCCAU